GCGGUCGUGGCGGAAUUGGCAGACGCGCACGGUUGAGGGCCGUGUGCCGCAAGGCGUGUGGGUUCAAGUCCCACCGACCGCACCA
Molecule: transfer RNA, 85 nt
Filed under: Eubacteriales Family XIII. Incertae Sedis bacterium
Lineage: Bacteria; Bacillati; Bacillota; Clostridia; Peptostreptococcales; Anaerovoracaceae
Description: tRNA-Leu
Rfam family: tRNA
About the family: Transfer RNA (tRNA) molecules are approximately 80 nucleotides in length. Their secondary structure includes four short double-helical elements and three loops (D, anti-codon, and T loops).
Source: RNAcentral